This 793-nucleotide ribosomal RNA is filed under the name Staphylococcus sp. RNAcentral's name for it is "bacterial SSU rRNA". It matches the Rfam family "Bacterial small subunit ribosomal RNA", at positions 31 to 806 of the family's 1533-position model. Lineage: Bacteria; Bacillati; Bacillota; Bacilli; Caryophanales; Staphylococcaceae. The record is from RNAcentral.
GAACGCUGGCGGCGUGCCUAAUACAUGCAAGUCGAGCGAACAGAUAAGGAGCUUGCUCCUUUGACGUUAGCGGCGGACGGGUGAGUAACACGUGGGUAACCUACCUAUAAGACUGGGAUAACUUCGGGAAACCGGAGCUAAUACCGGAUAACAUUUGGAACCGCAUGGUUCUAAAGUGAAAGAUGGUUUUGCUAUCACUUAUAGAUGGACCCGCGCCGUAUUAGCUAGUUGGUAAGGUAACGGCUUACCAAGGCGACGAUACGUAGCCGACCUGAGAGGGUGAUCGGCCACACUGGAACUGAGACACGGUCCAGACUCCUACGGGAGGCAGCAGUAGGGAAUCUUCCGCAAUGGGCGAAAGCCUGACGGAGCAACGCCGCGUGAGUGAUGAAGGGUUUCGGCUCGUAAAACUCUGUUAUUAGGGAAGAACAAACGUGUAAGUAACUGUGCACGUCUUGACGGUACCUAAUCAGAAAGCCACGGCUAACUACGUGCCAGCAGCCGCGGUAAUACGUAGGUGGCAAGCGUUAUCCGGAAUUAUUGGGCGUAAAGCGCGCGUAGGCGGUUUCUUAAGUCUGAUGUGAAAGCCCACGGCUCAACCGUGGAGGGUCAUUGGAAACUGGGAAACUUGAGUGCAGAAGAGGAAAGUGGAAUUCCAUGUGUAGCGGUGAAAUGCGCAGAGAUAUGGAGGAACACCAGUGGCGAAGGCGACUUUCUGGUCUGUAACUGACGCUGAUGUGCGAAAGCGUGGGGAUCAAACAGGAUUAGAUACCCUGGUAGUCCACGCCGUAAA